CUCUAGGGUUUGGAUUUUGGA
Molecule: non-coding RNA, 21 nt
Filed under: Arabidopsis thaliana (thale cress)
Lineage: Eukaryota; Viridiplantae; Streptophyta; Magnoliopsida; Brassicales; Brassicaceae
Source: RNAcentral